Oreochromis aureus is the source of this 1159-nucleotide long non-coding RNA. RefSeq lists it as uncharacterized. The transcript is spliced from 4 exons. Lineage: Eukaryota; Metazoa; Chordata; Actinopteri; Cichliformes; Cichlidae. The record is from RefSeq and is a predicted model, not a curated record.
UCACUCUUUUCUCUUGUCCUCACUGUGUCAGUUAUUAGUUCAGUCUGUGUUCUGGUUCUUGUGGUGUUACUGGUUCUGCUGGUGAGACGACAAGUUCAAAGGAAAACUGAAAGGGAGGAGUUGGAGAUGAAGUCAUCAACAACAGCCAAUCAGAGGAAGCAGAGAAAGUCAUCCAGCUGUUGUCCUCUCAGCCCUGAGAACUGAAGACAUCAGUUAUGGAUAAACAGCUGUCUGAUGGAACAGGGAGCAGUGGGACAGCUGACGUGGCUCUUCUGAUCAAUUAUUGAUUCAGGAAACAGCAAAGCAUGAAACUGAGUUUAUGUCUGGAAGAUGCCAGAUACAUAAACUUCUCCUUAACAUAAAGAUUUUAUUCUAUUCUUCUUCAGACUUUAACUGUGAUGCUCUGAUACUUUCACUAACAUUCUCCUGUUGUGUUCAUUUACUUUAUAUAAACAUGAGAGAUGAGUUUGCAGAGCUUUUUAUUCUUCUCAUGUUGAACUGUAUGUGUUUGUGUUCAGACUUUAAACCAGAGCCAGACGUCGUCUACUCCUCACUGAAGUAGUCCACCAGUCCAACCACUGAUGUCCAGCUGCUGGUCUCUAACUGGUCCACAGAGCCACACAAUGUUGAUCUGCAUAUAUUCUGUAGUGUCUUCUCAUUAUAAUAUACACUCUCAGUGUUUGUAUGAGUGUAUAUAGUAUAACUAAAAUAUGAAUGUCAUCUGUACAGCGUUGUCCUGCACUGAAAAAAAUAAUCAGUGGGAUAAACAUAAAAAAAUUAUUGUAAGCGGUUGCACGAAAUUAAGUUAUGUUUGGUUAACCUGAGUUUUUCAUGUUAUACCUGCACACAUUUAUCUGGUAACAUGAACAUGACUUUUUUAUGUUGUUGUUACGUUUUUCAUUCUGGUCAAAUAUUGAUAGAAACCACUUGUUUAUCAGACAUGAACUUUUUGUGUUAAUUGUAUUGGACUACUAUGUGUUAUAUUGACAAGAUUAUUUUAUGGUAAGCUUAUUUUAUUUUAUAACAAAUUUCUAAUAUAUAAUAUAUAAUCUAAUAUAUAAUUGAGUGUUCAAUAAAUAAAACUAAAUUAAGGCUGAUCUUACUGUAUGUACUGUACACUUUCUCUUCAAUCAAAGAAAUAAGCAAAACAUUUUUGAAC